CCUGAAGCUACAUGAACCACCAUAAGAAAGAAGAGCAAAACAGACAAGGGACUGAAGCCAGCUUGCACUCCACAGCUGCACAAAGAAGUUGGAAAGACUGUCUCUGAACUCCAUUAACUAAACUGUUCCAAACUCAACUGUCCUGCUCUGAACUAAGUUCAACUGCACUCAACUGAACUGUUCCAACCAGAACUGAGCUGAACUGACUGACUGAACUCAACUGACUUUCUCUCCCUCACUGCUAUACAGGGGACUCAGAAACAGAAUGAUCGGUGUUGGUAGAGAAGUAUCCACAUUCUUGAAGCAACAUCUAGCCUCCAUCUUGACUGUCAUACAACUUAUUCAAUACUCUGCUGUGCAAGUGACUCACACUCUCCAGAACUCUCCAAGACUCCAGAACUCCCUGCCUGAUCCUUCAAAUCCAUGCUAUUCCAGUCAGCUAUUCUCUGAUGAUCUCUGGGUUAUUAUCCUGUCUUUUUUUCCAGACAAGUUGAACAACCAU
This is a long non-coding RNA of Mus musculus (house mouse), 502 nucleotides long. RefSeq annotates it as predicted gene, 40299. The transcript has 3 exons. Lineage: Eukaryota; Metazoa; Chordata; Mammalia; Rodentia; Muridae. The record is from RefSeq and is a predicted model, not a curated record.